AACCGACUUAACCAAAAUGGUAGGCGGGUCGCGGAUCGCGCAGGCACGAGACGUUUACCUUGGAAAAUCCAGCAAGAACCCGGAGAGCCGAUUUUACUGGUUGGUUGCUUCGUUUCGUUUCAGCGUUUUCCCUCUAUCUCUCAUCUCCUUUUGAAUUGUUAUCAAUUUUCUUCUCGAUCUCAACUUCAUAUCUAAACCAUAAACCAAAUUCCACUUUAACAAUAGUUGGUCUCAGAUCGAGCAGCGGGACUCUGCAAUUCCAGCUUCAAAAUAUUACAGCUGUUUAUCUUUUCUUUUUUUUAUCGGAGAAAAGAAAGACAUAAAUAAGAUUAUGAUAACUCGGUCUAAACUCGUUGAGCAACUCAGGGAUUACCAGAUCCGGUCGCAGCAUAAGUGUUCUGCUCUAACUGUCUUCUCUCCUAAACCCCACAUCACUUCUUGGGCUGAUGUUAUUGUGGCAAUUUUCUGGGCUUUAGUGUUUAGCAUGCUUGUUAUAUCGUCCUAUGUGAGCCUCUAUUUCAGGCACUUUUGGCUUUCUUUUCUCAUAAUCUGCCUUGGGAUUUUUCUUCCCCUGCGCUUGAGAAGUUCUAGGCAGGUACUGACCCGGAAGAGGGAGAGAAGAUGGUUAUUACCCUUGUCAAUGUGAAUUUGUAAUGGCAGUAAGUUUUUUCAGGCAUGUCAGCGAUAUCCCCCCCCCCCCUUCCUUUUUUUAACUUGCAUUUGAGUGCUGUGGCAUAUUUUAGAGCAAUUCUAAAGCGUGGAGCGCUGCUUCUGGUCAACCAUGACAGCGCAAGUCCCUGCUCUCUGAGAUAAAUGAUAUGAUUCUUUUUGUCUCUCUACAUAUCAAAUACACAAAAGCCUUGAGAAUUUACCCAACACUCCUUGUCACAUGUAAAAACCAUAUAUUUGGGCAAUGAUGGUCUUGUAAAUUCAGUAUAGUUCAAGAAAAUUUAUUUUGACAUCUUGAAUAUCAAGUUAUAUAAAUAUAUAUUUUGAAGUUUGAAA
This is a long non-coding RNA of Manihot esculenta (cassava), 1005 nucleotides long. RefSeq lists it as uncharacterized. The transcript is spliced from 2 exons. The record is from RefSeq and is a predicted model, not a curated record. Lineage: Eukaryota; Viridiplantae; Streptophyta; Magnoliopsida; Malpighiales; Euphorbiaceae.